AACGUAGGAGACAAACGUUAUCCGGAGUUACUGGGCGUAAAGGGCGUGUAGGUGGUUUCGUAAGUCUGGCGUGAAAUAUCUCGGCUUAACCGAGGCAGGUCGUCGGAUACUGCGGAACUGGAGGACGGUAGAGGCGUGUGGAAUUCCGGGUGUAGUGGUGAAAUGCGUAGAGAUCCGGAGGAACACCAGUGGCGAAGGCGACACGCUGGGCCGUACCUGACACUGAUGCGCGACAGCAUGGGGAGCAAACAGG
This 253-nucleotide ribosomal RNA is filed under the name uncultured bacterium. RNAcentral's name for it is "partial 16S ribosomal RNA". It matches the Rfam family "Bacterial small subunit ribosomal RNA", at positions 524 to 776 of the family's 1533-position model. The record is from RNAcentral.